AGCAGGGCCGCCUCCCCGCCUCUCGCCAGCAGCUGGCGCCCGCGCAACAGUGGGUUGCGCGCGCGCCAAACAUGGGCAUGAGCACGAGCGGCAGCCAAGGGCACCAGCCCAUGCGUGCGGCCAUAGACGCGCACGCAUCAAGAAGCACAGCCAGCCCAAGGCACGGCCAGACCUGCAUUCGGCCGAGCGCACCACAACCAGACCAAGCCAAGGGCAGCGCACGGGUUCAGCUCGACCAAAGACACAGCCAAGCGGCCGAGCCCGCCAGCAUUGGGUCCGGACCAGCCAGCGCACGAGCGCCCGAAUGCCAAGGAUGGAAAGCCACAGUCAACCAGGGCCCGCGCACACCAGAAGACACUUGGCAGCCAUCCGCCG
Molecule: long non-coding RNA, 375 nt
Filed under: Phoenix dactylifera (date palm)
Lineage: Eukaryota; Viridiplantae; Streptophyta; Magnoliopsida; Arecales; Arecaceae
Description: long non-coding RNA (PDAC_LNC022416)
Source: RNAcentral